GUUUGAACAUGGCCUCGAAACGGCAACAGGAGUCGGGAGCGGAGAAAAGAAAGAAGAAGAGGAAGCGUGAUGAAACUCAGGCGUCGCUUGCCGGGUCAAUGCUUAAAUAUGUUCAAGGAGGAUCUCAAGGACAGGAUGAACCAUCCAGUAGUAGUGCCAUCCCUGGACAUCAACCACCAGCCAUUGUAGACCCUGCAACAAUCCCUAGCCAAGAAGAACAAGAACCAUCAACCACCAGUUCAGAACAGUUCUCCACAGUCGCUGUCCACAUGGGUCAGUGGGACCAAGAAGCACUCUGCUAAUGUGUGGACUCUGACCAGCAACAUCCAGCAAGACCCAG
Oreochromis aureus is the source of this 340-nucleotide long non-coding RNA. The record is from Ensembl. Lineage: Eukaryota; Metazoa; Chordata; Actinopteri; Cichliformes; Cichlidae.